RNAcentral lists this ribosomal RNA (492 nucleotides) under uncultured bacterium. Its description in RNAcentral is "partial 16S ribosomal RNA". It matches the Rfam family "Bacterial small subunit ribosomal RNA", at positions 29 to 507 of the family's 1533-position model. The record is from RNAcentral.
AGUGAACGCUGGCGGUAGGCCUAACACAUGCAAGUCGAACGGCAGCACAGUAAGAGCUUGCUCUUACGGGUGGCGAGUGGCGGACGGGUGAGGAAUACAUCGGAAUCUACUUUUUCGUGGGGGAUAACGUAGGGAAACUUACGCUAAUACCGCAUACGACCUACGGUUGAAAGCAGGGGAUCUUCGGACCUUUCGCGAUUGAAUGAGCCGAUGUCGGAUUAGCUAGUUGGGGGGGUAAAGGCCCACCAAGGCGACGAUCCGUAGCUGGUCUGAGAGGAUGAUCGGCCACACGGGAAGUUAGACACGGUCCAGACUCCUACGGGAGGCAGCAGUGGGGAAUAGUGGGCAAUGGGCGCAAGCCUGAUCCAGCCAUAGCGCGUGGGUGAAGAAGGCCUUCGGGUUGUAAAGCCGUUUUGUUGGGAAAGAAAAGCAGCAGGUUAAUACCACGCUGUUCUGACGGUACCCAAAGAAUAAGCACCGGCUAACUUCGUG